Gopherus evgoodei (Goodes thornscrub tortoise) is the source of this 307-nucleotide long non-coding RNA. RefSeq lists it as uncharacterized. The transcript has 3 exons. The record is from RefSeq and is a predicted model, not a curated record. NCBI's taxonomy places the organism in Eukaryota, Metazoa, Chordata, Testudines, Testudinidae.
AAAGCUUGCAACACCAGACAGUACCAGUCAGUCUGGAAUCAAUUUGGAGUGGGCAAAUCUACUGUGGCGGUUGCUGUCAUGCAAGUAGCUAACGCAAUCACUGAGCAGUUGCUAUGAAAGGUAGUGACUCUGGGAAAUGUGCAGGUCAUAGUGGAUGGCUUUGCUGCAAUGGGGCUCCCUAACUGUGGUGGGGUAAUAGACAGAACCCAUAUCCUUAUCAUGGGACCAGACCACCAAGGCAGCGAGUACAUAAACGGAAAGGGGUGCUUUUCAAUGGUACUGCAAACACUGUCACUGAUGGAUUGCA